UACGGGGGGAGCAAGCGUUGUUCGGAUUUACUGGGCGUAAAGGGCGCGUAGGCGGCCAGCACAAGUCAGUUGUGAAAUCUCCGAGCUUAACUCGGAAAGGUCAACUGAUACUGUGCGGCUAGAGUGCGGAAGGGGCAACUGGAAUUCUUGGUGUAGCGGUGAAAUGCGUAGAUAUCAAGAGGAACACCUGCGGCGAAGGCGGGUUGCUGGGCCGACACUGACGCUGAGGCGCGGAAAGCCAGGGGAGCGAACGGG
Molecule: ribosomal RNA, 255 nt
Filed under: uncultured bacterium
Lineage: Bacteria
Description: partial 16S ribosomal RNA
Rfam family: Bacterial small subunit ribosomal RNA
Source: RNAcentral